Molecule: ribosomal RNA, 1436 nt
Filed under: uncultured Bordetella sp.
Lineage: Bacteria; Pseudomonadati; Pseudomonadota; Betaproteobacteria; Burkholderiales; Alcaligenaceae
Description: partial 16S-23S ribosomal RNA intergenic spacer
Rfam family: Bacterial small subunit ribosomal RNA
Source: RNAcentral
UUCGAUCCUGGCUCAGAUUGAACGCUGGCGGGAUGCUUUACACAUGCAAGUCGAACGCAGCACGGACUUCAUCUGGUGGCGAGUGGCGAACGGGUGAGUAAUGUAUCGGAACGUGCCUAGUAGCGGGGAUAACUACGCGAAAGCGUAGCUAAUACCGCAUAUUCUUCGGGGAAAGGACCCUUCGGGCCUCGCACUAUUAGAGCGGCCGAUAUCGGAUUAGCUAGUUGGUGGGGUAACGGCUCACCAAGGCGACGAUCCGUAGCUGGUUUGAGAGGACGACCAGCCACACUGGGACUGGAGACACGGCCCAGACUCCUACGGGAGGCAGCAGUGGGGAAUUUUGGACAAUGGGGAAACCCCUGAUCCAGCCAUCCUUAUGCGAUGAAGGCCUUGCUGAAAGCACUUUUUGGCAGGAAGAACGGUGGUACACGGAUAAUACCCUGCAACUGACGGUACCUGCAGAAUAAGCACCGGCUAAUCGAGCGCCAGCAAACAGCGUAAUACGUAGGGUGCAAGCGUUAAUCGAACACGGGCGUAAAAGCGUGCGCAGGUCUGGAAAGAAAGAUGUGAAAUCCCAGAGCUACUUGAACCUGGUAUUUAACUACUGAGCUAGAGUGUGGCCGAGGAGGUGGAAUUCCGUAUGUAGCAGUGAAAUGCGUAGAUAUGCGGAGAACACUGAUGGCGAAGGGCAGCCUCCGGGAUAACACUGACGCUCAUGCACGAAAGCGUGGGGAGCAAACAGGAUUAGAUAUUCGUGAACUAAUGCCCAAACGAUUAACUAGGCUGUUGGGGCUCCUGGCCUUGCGGUAGCGCAGCCAAUUAUGAAGCUGAAUCGCCUGGGGAGUACGGUCGCAAGAUUAAAACCUAAAGGAAUUGAUUAGAUUCCGUACAAGCGGUGUGAUUAAUUCAGAUAACGCGAAAACCUUACCUACCCUUGACAUGUCUGGAAUCCCGAAGAGAUUUGGGAGUGCUCGCAAGAGAACCAAAACACAGGUGCUGCAUGGCUGUCGUCAGCUCGUGUCGUGAGAUGUUGGGCUAAGUCCGCAACGAGCGCAAACUUUGUCAUGAAGUGGCACAGCGGCACCUUUAACAGGGAUCGCUGGGAAGAACCGAGGAAGGUGGGAUGACGCUGGUCCUCAUGGCCCUUAUGGGUAGGGCUUCACGUCAUGGCAAUGGUCGGGCUUCGAGGGUCGCCAACCCGCGAGGGCUGCAUCCGAAACCCGAUCAGUCCGGAUCGCAGUCGCACCUGAUCGUGCAGAAGCUGGAACUAAGCAGUGGCUCCGUGAUCAGCAUGUUCGGUGAGGUCACGUUCUCGGCCUCGUACACACCGCCCGUCACACCAUGGGAGUGGCUCACCAGAAGUAGUUAGCCUGAAACUGUAGCGAUGAAGGACACUACGGUAGGAUUCACGAUCAAAGUAAGUCGUAACAAGGUAG